UCGAGAAUCUUUCGCAAUGGGCGCAAGCCUGACGAAGCGACGCCGUGUGAGCGAAGAAGGCCUUCGGGUUGUAAAGCUCUUUCGCUAGGGAACAAGAAAAGGGCGCUAAUAUCGCCCUGAUUUGAGGGUACUUGGUAAAGAAGCACCGGCUAACUCCGUGCCAGCAGCUGCGGUAAUACGGAGGGUGCAAGCAUUGAUCGGAAUUACUGGGCGUAAAGGGCGCGUAGGCGGCUAAAAAAGUUGGAUGUGAAAUUCCGCGGCUCAACUGCGGAGCGGCAUUCAAAACUCUUUAGCUAGAGCGUAGUUAGGGAAAACGGAAUUCCACGUGUAGCGGUGAAAUGCGUAGAUAUGUGGAAGAACACCAGUGGUGAAGACGGUUUUCUGGGCUAUUGCUGACGCUGAGGCGCGAAAGCUAGGGGAGCAAACAGGAUUAGAUACCCCCGUAGUCC
RNAcentral lists this ribosomal RNA (449 nucleotides) under uncultured bacterium. RNAcentral's name for it is "bacterial SSU rRNA". It matches the Rfam family "Bacterial small subunit ribosomal RNA", at positions 355 to 796 of the family's 1533-position model. The record is from RNAcentral.